GCAAGCUGCCGCACCUUGGGCCAAUCACCGGACGCGGCGCUGUCCCGGCGGCCAAUCAGGAGAGGGAAGGAGUGGAAGGGCUGCCAGACGCGGCACUCGGGGCGCAUAAGAGCGGCACCGGAGGCAUCCAAAGAGAAGUUACACUCUGGCAGAGUGUUGUCUCCAAAAGAUCCUGAAUGCUUCUGGUUAAAAUCAGCUAUGUAGUGUCCUUCUCCUCCCAGGUGCUCCAUGGCCUUCAGCUUCUCUGAUAGCUCCUGGUUCUGCUGCUUCUUGGCAUCAUAAUGACUUUUUGCCUUCUCCAUCUAGGAUAUAAAGCAGAAGGAUCAUGUCCA
This is a non-coding RNA of Lonchura striata (white-rumped munia), 332 nucleotides long. The record is from RefSeq and is a predicted model, not a curated record. Lineage: Eukaryota; Metazoa; Chordata; Aves; Passeriformes; Estrildidae.